RNAcentral lists this ribosomal RNA (468 nucleotides) under uncultured bacterium. RNAcentral describes it as "partial 16S ribosomal RNA". It matches the Rfam family "Bacterial small subunit ribosomal RNA", at positions 28 to 507 of the family's 1533-position model. The record is from RNAcentral.
GACGAACGCUGGCGGCGUGCUUAACACAUGCAAGUCGAACGGAAAGGCCCUGCUUUUGUGGGGUGCUCGAGUGGCGAACGGGUGAGUAACACGUGAGUAACCUGCCCUUGACUUUGGGAUAACUUCAGGAAACUGGGGCUAAUACCGGAUAGGAGCUCCUGCUGCAUGGUGGGGGUUGGAAAGUUUCGGCGGUUGGGGAUGGACUCGCGGCUUAUCAGCUUGUUGGUGGGGUAGUGGCUUACCAAGGCUUUGACGGGUAGCCGGCCUGAGAGGGUGACCGGCCACAUUGGGCCUGAGAUACGGCCCAGACUCCUACGGGAGGCAGCGGUGGGGAAUAUUGCACAAUGGGCGGAAGCCUGAUGCAGCAACGCCGCGUGGGGGAUGACGGCCUUCGGGUUGUAAACCGCUUUCGCCUGUGACGAAGCGUGAGUGACGGUAAUGGGUAAAGAAGCACCGGCUAACUACGUG